Molecule: non-coding RNA, 76 nt
Organism: Podarcis lilfordi (Lilford's wall lizard)
Lineage: Eukaryota; Metazoa; Chordata; Lepidosauria; Squamata; Lacertidae
Source: the annotation of a GenBank genome assembly
ACCUGUACGAUAGCUCAGUCAGUAGAGUAUGAGGCUCUUAAUCUCAGGGUUGUGGGUUUGAUCACUACGUUGGGCA